AGCGAACGUUAGCGGCGCGCCUAACACAUGCAAGUCGCACGAGAAACGGAGCAAUCCGCGGUACAGUGGCGCACGGGUGAGUAACACGUGGAUGACCUUCCCUGGAGUGGUGGAUAACCUGCCGAAAGGCGGGCUAAUACAGCAUGGGACCACGACGCUUUGGCGAUGUGGUGAAAGCGGGCCUCUAUAUAUAAGCUCGCGCUCCGGGACGGGUCCGCGUCCCAUCAGCUAGUUGGUGAGGUAACGGCUCACCAAGGCAACGACGGGUAGCUGGUCUGAGAGGAUGGCCAGCCACACUGGAACUGAGACACGGUCCAGACUCCUACGGGAGGCAGCAGUAGGGAAUCUUCCGCAAUGGACGAAAGUCUGACGGAGCAACGCCGCGUGAGUGAUGAAGGUUUUCGGAUCGUAAAACUCUGUUGUUAGGGAAGAACAAGUGCCGUUCGAAAGGGCGGCACCUUGACGGUACCUAACGAGAAAGCCACGGCUAACUACGUGCCAGCA
Molecule: ribosomal RNA, 504 nt
Filed under: uncultured bacterium
Lineage: Bacteria
Description: bacterial SSU rRNA
Rfam family: Bacterial small subunit ribosomal RNA
Source: RNAcentral